UUUUUCAUUUGACAUUUCUUUUCUUUAUAAAAGUUUCCAGCUCACCUUUUUAUAGAAUAAGAAUCCAACCCCUGGGACCGGAACUACUACUUGGGCUUCAUAUCAAAAAUAAGAUAUUGAAUUCGAAUCUUUAAAUUCCAAAUUGACGCAUAUUCAUAUUCAAAUUUCGCAGUCCUUUUCACGAACUUUCUCAAUUGGAAAUUUUGAAGUAUUUGGCUUGUGUUCUUUGAUUCGAUUCAAAAAUUUACGUUCUGGAGAAAUUUGACCUUUCCCAAUUAAUAAUUUGACACAAUAACAAAAUAACCAAAUAACUUAAAACUGGAUACCGAAUAAACAAAAAUAAACAAAAAUACAACAAUUAUCCACUCAUUCUCCGCGCUUUUUGGUAAACAAUAAAGACGGUCAUGUGCUGAACCUGAUUCGAUGGCGAAUGAAUAAUACCGGCCAGCGUUUUAUUUGUUGGCUUUUGUGGUCAACUCAAUUAUCGGCCAAAACGAAUAUUGAUGGGAACGCAAAAAAAGAAACAAACAAUAGACGGAUAACAACAUAAAACGUAAACUGGUUUCAAAUACCGCUACAGCAAAACGUUUUCUAUUUUGUCAUUUCUUCUUCUUCACUUUCAUAUCGGGAGAAGUGGUUGGUUGGUUGGGUGGCUUGUUUUGUGGUUUGAAUUGUUUUUUUACUUUUUCCCAAGUUUUGGGGAUUCACAGCACAAAUCAUGUGAAGCGUUUGUUAUUUGUCUGAACGUUUAAAGACACUUUUUUAAUGAGAUUAUAUUUCUAACGCUAUUUUUGUUUUUGCAAAAUUGAUUCCCUACGGUGUUUAAGGUAGACAUUGUAUGCACGGGUGUACACAUGUGUACAUACAUAUAAUAAAUGUGUGAUAUAUG
This is a long non-coding RNA of Musca domestica (house fly), 889 nucleotides long. RefSeq lists it as uncharacterized. The record is from RefSeq and is a predicted model, not a curated record. Lineage: Eukaryota; Metazoa; Arthropoda; Insecta; Diptera; Muscidae. The transcript has 2 exons.